This 2223-nucleotide ribosomal RNA is filed under the name Alteromonas sp. KUL49. Its description in RNAcentral is "partial 23S ribosomal RNA". It matches the Rfam family "Bacterial large subunit ribosomal RNA", at positions 724 to 2925 of the family's 2925-position model. Lineage: Bacteria; Pseudomonadati; Pseudomonadota; Gammaproteobacteria; Alteromonadales; Alteromonadaceae. The record is from RNAcentral.
GGUGAUCUAGCCAUGGGCAGGUUGAAGGUUGAGUAACAUCAACUGGAGGACCGAACCCACUAACGUUGAAAAGUUAGGGGAUGACUUGUGGCUGGGGGUGAAAGGCCAAUCAAACCGGGAGAUAGCUGGUUCUCCCCGAAAUCUAUUUAGGUAGAGCCUCGGACGAAUUCCAUUGGGGGUAGAGCACUGUUAAGGCUAGGGGGUCAUCCCGACUUACCAACCCUUUGCAAACUCCGAAUACCAAUGAGAACUAUCCGGGAGACACACGGCGGGUGCUAACGUCCGUCGUGGAGAGGGAAACAACCCAGACCGCCAGCUAAGGUCCCAAAAUAUUGCUAAGUGGGAAACGAUGUGGGAAGGCUUAGACAGCUAGGAGGUUGGCUUAGAAGCAGCCACCCUUUAAAGAAAGCGUAAUAGCUCACUAGUCGAGUCGGCCUGCGCGGAAGAUGUAACGGGGCUAAGCAAUAUACCGAAGCUGCGGCAGCACGUUUACGUGCUGGGUAGGGGAGCGUUGUGUAAGUGGAUGAAGGUGAGUUGUAAAGCUUGCUGGACAUAUCACAAGUGCGAAUGCUGACAUGAGUAACGAUAAUGGGGGUGAAAAACCCCCACGCCGGAAGACCAAGGUUUCCUGUCCCAUGCUAAUCAGGGCAGGGUAAGUCGGCCCCUAAGGCGAGGCAGAAAUGCGUAGUCGAUGGGAAACGGGUUAAUAUUCCCGUACUUAUAUAAUCAGUGAUGGAGGGACGGAGAAGGCUAGGCAAGCUUGGCGUUGGUUGUCCAAGUGAAAGUGCGUAGGCUGGAAUUUUAGGUAAAUCCGGAAUUCUAAGGCCGAGACACGAGACGAGCUCCCAAGGGAGUGAAGUUGUUGAUGCCCUGCUUCCAGGAAAAGCUUCUAAACUUAUGAUUAUAUGAACCGUACCCCAAACCGACACAGGUGGUCAGGUAGAGAAUACUAAGGCGCUUGAGAGAACUCGGGUGAAGGAACUCGGCAAAAUAGUACCGUAACUUCGGGAGAAGGUACGCCCCUGUUUGUGAACACUUCGCGUGGUAAGCAGAUGGGGGUCGCAGUGACCAGGUGGCUGGGACUGUUUAUUAAAAACACAGCACUGUGCUAAAUCGAAAGAUGACGUAUACGGUGUGACACCUGCCCGGUGCCGGAAGGUUAAUUGAUGGGGUUAGCGUAAGCGAAGCUCUUGAUCGAAGCCCCGGUAAACGGCGGCCGUAACUAUAACGGUCCUAAGGUAGCGAAAUUCCUUGUCGGGUAAGUUCCGACCUGCACGAAUGGUGUAACCAUGGCCACGCUGUCUCCACCCGAGACUCAGUGAAAUUGAAAUCGCAGUGAAGAUGCUGUGUACCCGCACCUAGACGGAAAGACCCCGUGAACCUUUACUACAGCUUGGCACUGAACAUUGAACCUACAUGUGUAGGAUAGGUGGGAGGCUUUGAAGCAUUGUCGCUAGAUGAUGUGGAGCCGUCCUUGAAAUACCACCCUUGUAUGUUUGAUGUUCUAACAUUGGUCCCUUAUCGGGAUUGUGGACAGUGUCUGGUGGGUAGUUUGACUGGGGCGGUCUCCUCCCAAAUAGUAACGGAGGAGCACGAAGGUUAGCUAAUCACGGUCGGACAUCGUGAGGUUAGUGCAAUGGCAUAAGCUAGCUUAACUGCGAGACAGACACGUCGAGCAGGUACGAAAGUAGGUCAUAGUGAUCCGGUGGUUCUGUAUGGAAGGGCCAUCGCUCAACGGAUAAAAGGUACUCCGGGGAUAACAGGCUGAUACCGCCCAAGAGUUCAUAUCGACGGCGGUGUUUGGCACCUCGAUGUCGGCUCAUCACAUCCUGGGGCUGAAGUCGGUCCCAAGGGUAUGGCUGUUCGCCAUUUAAAGUGGUACGCGAGCUGGGUUUAGAACGUCGUGAGACAGUUCGGUCCCUAUCUGGUGUGGGCGUUGGAUGAUUGAGGGGAGCUGCUCCUAGUACGAGAGGACCGGAGUGGACGAACCGCUGGUGUUCGGGUUGUUAUGCCAAUAGCAUUGCCCGGUAGCCAAGUUCGGAACGGAUAACCGCUGAAAGCAUCUAAGCGGGAAGCCGGCCCCAAGAUGAGUCAUCCCUGACCUUUAAGGUCUGGAAGGGUUGUUAUAGACGAUGACGUUGAUAGGCAGGGUGUGGAAGCGUUGUAAGGCGUUAAGCUAACCUGUACUAAUUGCCCGAGAGGCUUAACCAUACAACACCCAAG